Molecule: ribosomal RNA, 460 nt
Filed under: uncultured bacterium
Lineage: Bacteria
Description: partial 16S ribosomal RNA
Rfam family: Bacterial small subunit ribosomal RNA
Source: RNAcentral
CCUACGGGCGGCAGCAGUGAGGAAUAUUGGUCAAUGGACGAGAGUCUGAACCAGCCAAGUAGCGUGAAGGAUGACUGCCCUAUGGGUUUUAAACUUCUUUUAUAAAGGAAUAAAACGUGGCACGUGUGCCCUUUUGCAUGUACUUUAUGAAUAAGGAUCGGCUAACUCCGUUCCAUCAGCCGCGGUAAUACGGAGGAUCCGAGCGUUAAGCGGAUUUAUUGGGUUUAAAGGGAACGUAGCUGGGUGAUUGAGUCAGUUGUGAAAGUUUGGGGCUCAACCGGAAAAUUGCAUCUGAUACUGGUAGGCGAGAGUAUAGUUGAGGGGGGGAGAAUUCGAGGUGUAGCGGUGAAAUGCUGAGAGAUCACGAAGAACCCCGAUUGCGAAGGCGGCCCACUAAACAGAGACUGACGUUGAGGCUCGAAAGUGUGGGGAGCAAACAGGAUUAGAUACCCGGAGAGUC